Molecule: ribosomal RNA, 927 nt
Filed under: uncultured organism
Description: bacterial SSU rRNA
Rfam family: Bacterial small subunit ribosomal RNA
Source: RNAcentral
UUGGAUCCAGACUUUGAUCAUGGCUCAGGAUGAACGCUAGCUACAGGCUUAACACAUGCAAGUCGAGGGGAAACGACAUCGAAAGCUUGCUUCCGAUAGGCGUCGACCGGCGCACGGGUGAGUAACGCGUAUCCAACCUGCCCAUCACUUGGGGAUAACCUUGCGAAAGUAAGACUAAUACCCAAUGAUAUCUCUAGAAGACAUCUGAAAGGGAUUAAAGAUUCAUCGGUGAUGGAUGGGGAUGCGUCUGAUUAGCUUGUUGGCGGGGUAACGGCCCACCAAGGCGACGAUCAGUAGGGGUUCUGAGAGGAAGGUCCCCCACAUUGGAACUGAGACACGGUCCAAACUCCUACGGGAGGCAGCAGUGAGGAAUAUUGGUCAAUGGGCGAGAGCCUGAACCAGCCAAGUAGCGUGCAGGAUGACGGCCCUAUGGGUUGUAAACUGCUUUUAUAAGGGAAUAAAGUGGGAGUCGUGACUCUUUUUGCAUGUACCUUAUGAAUAAGGACCGGCUAAUUCCGUGCCAGCAGCCGCGGUAAUACGGAAGGUCCGGGCGUUAUCCGGAUUUAUUGGGUUUAAAGGGAGCGUAGGCCGGAGAUUAAGCGUGUUGUGAAAUGUAGAUGCUCAACGUCUGCACUGCAGCGCGAACUGGUUUCCUUGAGUACGCACAAAGUGGGCGGAAUUCGUGGUGUAGCGGUGAAAUGCUUAGAUAUCACGAAGAACUCCGAUUGCGAAGGCAGCUCACUGGAGCGCAACUGACGCUGAAGCUCGAAAGUGCGGGUAUCGAACAGGAUUAGAUACCCUGGUAGUCCGCACGGUAAACGAUGGAUGCCCGCUGUUGGUCUGAAUAGGUCAGCGGCCAAGCGAAAGCAUUAAGCAUCCCACCUGGGGAGUACGCCGGCAACGGUGCAACUCAAAUGAAUUGACGGA